This 512-nucleotide ribosomal RNA is filed under the name Amazona oratrix (yellow-headed parrot). Its description in RNAcentral is "partial 12S ribosomal RNA". It matches the Rfam family "Bacterial small subunit ribosomal RNA", at positions 9 to 889 of the family's 1533-position model. The record is from RNAcentral. Lineage: Eukaryota; Metazoa; Chordata; Aves; Psittaciformes; Psittacidae.
AAAAGACUUAGUCCUAACCUUACCGUUAAUUCUCGCUCAACAUAUACAUGCAAGUAUCCGCACCCCAGUGCAAACGCCCUAAAACCCCUUGCCAAGGCACUAGGAGCAGGUAUCAGGCACACUUCUGUGGCCCAAGACGCCACGCCCCGCCACACCCCCACGGGUACUCAGCAGUAAUUAACAUUAAGCAAUAGGCGUAAGCCUGACUUAGCUAGAGCGAUCAGGGUUGGUAAAUCUUGUGCCAGCCACCGCGGUCAUACAAGAAACCCAAAUUAACCGUACGCGGCGUAAAGAGUGGCCUCAGACUAUUAAAGCAGAUUAAGACUAAACUCCAACCUAAGCCGUCACAAGCCCAAGGUCCCCGAAGCCCAACCUAAAAACGAUCUUAACACCAACGACCCAUCCCACCCCACGAAAGCCAGGGCACAAACUGGGAUUAGAUACCCCACUAUGCCUGGCCCUAAAUCUUGAUGUUUCCCAAACACAAACAUCCGCCCGAGAACUACGAGCAC